CUGCACUGUUCGUAACCUGUUGUUAAUGAUUUCUGUUACAAUUGGGUUCCAUUCCAGUGCCACAUCAAUUCAAUAAAAGCCAUUGGCUGAAAGCUGAUCCAUAGCUUGGCCUGGUUGGAGUUGAAACAGUU
Carcharodon carcharias (great white shark) is the source of this 131-nucleotide small nucleolar RNA. Lineage: Eukaryota; Metazoa; Chordata; Chondrichthyes; Lamniformes; Lamnidae. The record is from RefSeq and is a predicted model, not a curated record.